CUCUCUUCUGCUUUUCCAUUUCAUUUCCUUAUGUUAGAGAAGCAUUCCAUUUUAAAAUUUCAAGGAGGGUACUGAAUGAGCUUGGUAGAUAGACUAGGCUCUCUUGCAUAAAGAUCAUAUAAGAAAUUAAAGGAGUUUGCCACAUACUGCCUUUCUAAUGGUGUUCUUCCUUUCCAACAUCCUGAGUUGUCCAAUUUUUCAAAUAUUAAAGCUAUAAGCCAAGCAAGGGAACAGUUUCAGGUCAGUGGGCAGAGCUUCACACCUCUACGCCCACCAUGAUCUUGGGAGGCCGAAGUAUAAGAAGUGCAACAGGACUCAGACUACCUGAGCUACAAAGACUCGGAACUCCUCCCAGCCUGUCAUUUUGAAGUGUUUUCUGGAUUAUACAUGACAUGGGGAGCUUCGUUCGAGAUACCUCGACAAGAUGGCAGCCUGAGCAAGACUUGAGCAAGGUUAAUGCUGCCAGCUAAAAACGGAAGGAAGAAAACUCAUGGGCCCCAGACAGAGAACACGAGGCAACUAAGGAAUGUUAAAAAGCAGGAAAAUUGUCUUCUCCGGCAUUGAACCCCUUUCAUUGGUAACCUGAUACCACAGAGUCAGCCUGAAUUCAUAUCCAUACAAAUAACAAUAAACG
Long non-coding RNA from Mastomys coucha (southern multimammate mouse), 634 nucleotides. RefSeq lists it as uncharacterized. The record is from RefSeq and is a predicted model, not a curated record. The transcript has 4 exons. NCBI's taxonomy places the organism in Eukaryota, Metazoa, Chordata, Mammalia, Rodentia, Muridae.